UGGCUGUCGUCAGCUCGUGUCGUGAGAUGUUGGGUUAAGUCCCGCAACGAGCGCAACCCUUGUCAUUAGUUGCUACGAAAGGGCACUCUAAUGAGACUGCCGGUGACAAACCGGAGGAAGGUGGGGAUGACGUCAAGUCCUCAUGGCCCUUAUGGGUAGGGCUUCACACGUCAUACAAUGGUCGGGACAGAGGGUCGCCAACCCGCAGGGGGAGCCAAUCCCAGAAACCCGAUCGUAGUCCGGAUUGCAGGCUGCAACUCGCCUGCAUGAAGUCGGAAUCGCUAGUAAUCGCGGAUCAGCAUGUCGCGGUGAAUACGUUCCCGGGUCUU
RNAcentral lists this ribosomal RNA (329 nucleotides) under uncultured Pusillimonas sp. Its description in RNAcentral is "bacterial SSU rRNA". It matches the Rfam family "Bacterial small subunit ribosomal RNA", at positions 1046 to 1382 of the family's 1533-position model. Lineage: Bacteria; Pseudomonadati; Pseudomonadota; Betaproteobacteria; Burkholderiales; Alcaligenaceae. The record is from RNAcentral.